This 479-nucleotide ribosomal RNA is filed under the name uncultured bacterium. RNAcentral's name for it is "bacterial SSU rRNA". It matches the Rfam family "Bacterial small subunit ribosomal RNA", at positions 364 to 833 of the family's 1533-position model. The record is from RNAcentral.
UUUCGCAAUGCCCGAAAGGGUGACGAAGCGACGCCGCGUGCGGGAAGAAGGCCCUAGGGUUGUAAACCGCUGUCAGGAGUUAAGAAAUGUAGGAAUGUUAAUAGCAUUUCUAUUUGACUAAGGCUCCAGAGGAAGCCACGGCUAACUCUGUGCCAGCAGCCGCGGUAAUACAGAGGUGGCAAGCGUUGUUCGGAAUUAUUGGGCGUAAAGAGCACGUAGGCGGCCCUGCCAGUCAGUUGUGAAAGCCUUCCGCUCAACGGAAGAACGGCAGCUGAUACUACAGGGCUAGAGUACGGGAGGGGAGAGUGGAACUUCUGGUGGAGCGGUGAAAUGCGUAGAUAUCAGAAGGAACGUCGGCGGCGAAAGCGACUCUCUGGACCGAAACUGACGCUGAGUGUGCGAAAGCUAGGGGAGCAAACGGGAUUAGAUACCCCGGUAGUCCUAGCCGUAAACGAUGGGCACUAAGUAGAGGGGUUUUA